GGGCCUAUAGUUCAAUGGAUAGAACACCAGCCUUCUAAGCUGGUUAUGCAGGUUCGAUUCCUGCUGGGCCCA
Molecule: transfer RNA, 72 nt
Filed under: Candidatus Magasanikiibacteriota bacterium
Lineage: Bacteria; Candidatus Magasanikiibacteriota
Description: tRNA-Arg
Rfam family: tRNA
About the family: Transfer RNA (tRNA) molecules are approximately 80 nucleotides in length. Their secondary structure includes four short double-helical elements and three loops (D, anti-codon, and T loops). Further hydrogen bonds mediate the characteristic L-shaped molecular structure. tRNAs have two regions of fundamental functional importance: the anti-codon, which is responsible for specific mRNA codon recognition, and the 3' end, to which the tRNAs corresponding amino acid is attached (by aminoacyl-tRNA synthetases). tRNAs cope with the degeneracy of the genetic code in two manners: having more than one tRNA (with a specific anti-codon) for a particular amino acid; and 'wobble' base-pairing, i.e. permitting non-standard base-pairing at the 3rd anti-codon position.
Source: RNAcentral